GAGGAGGCGCAGGCGGUUGCAGAUUGGUCAGUUCGCUGGCUAAGUCUGAGGAAAGUCCGGGCUCCCAAAAGAUCGAACUUGCUAGGUAACGCCUAGUGCGGGCGACCGUGAGGAGAGUGCCACAGAAACAUACCGCCGAUGGUGUUUGGGUCUGAGCCGCAAAUACACAGGUAAGGGUGCAAGGGUGCGGUAAGAGCGCACCAGCAAUGUCGUGAGGCAUUGGCUCGGUAAACCCCGGUUGGGAGCAAGGUUGUAGGAGUCAUGGUUGAUCUUUUUCCGGCUCCGGGCAGGGUGUGGGCAACCCAUUCUGCGAAAUCCGCUAGAGGUGUCUGGUGACAGGCAUCCCAGAUAGAUAACUGCCCUUCUGGUGAUCGUCUAAAUGGCAGCAUCAGAAGAACAGAACCCGGCUUAUGUCCGCCUCUUCCCUU
RNAcentral lists this RNase P RNA (428 nucleotides) under Cyanobacteria bacterium RM1_2_2. RNAcentral describes it as "RNase P RNA component class A". It matches the Rfam family "Bacterial RNase P class A". Rfam says of the family: Ribonuclease P (RNase P) is a ubiquitous endoribonuclease, found in archaea, bacteria and eukarya as well as chloroplasts and mitochondria. Its best characterised activity is the generation of mature 5'-ends of tRNAs by cleaving the 5'-leader elements of precursor-tRNAs. The record is from RNAcentral. Lineage: Bacteria; Bacillati; Cyanobacteriota.